UUAAGCGACUAAGCGUACACGGUGGAUGCCCUGGCAGUCAGAGGCGAUGAAGGACGUGCUAAUCUGCGAAAAGCGUCGGUAAGGUGAUAUGAACCGUUAUAACCGGCGAUGUCCGAAUGGGGAAACCCAGUGUGAUUCGUCACACUAUCGUUAACUGAAUACAUAGGUUAACGAGGCGAACCGGGGGAACUGAAACAUCUAAGUACCCCGAGGAAAAGAAAUCAACCGAGAUUCCCCCAGUAGCGGCGAGCGAACGGGGAGCAGCCCAGAGUCUGAAUCAGCUUGUGUGUUAGUGGAACGGUCUGGAAAGUCCGACGGUACAGGGUGAUAGUCCCGUACACCAAAAUGCACAGGNUGUGAACUCGAAGAGUAGGGCGGGACACGUGGUAUCCUGUCUGAAUAUGGGGGGACCAUCCUCCAAGGCUAAAUACUCCUGACUGACCGAUAGUGAACCAGUACCGUGAGGGAAAGGCGAAAAGAACCCCGGCGAGGGGAGUGAAAAAGAACCUGAAACCGUGUACGUACAAGCAGUGGGAGCACCUUCGGGUGUGACUGCGUACCUUUUGUAUAAUGGGUCAGCGACUUAUAUUCUGUAGCAAGGUUAACCGUAUAGGGGAGCCGCAGGGAAACCGAGUCUUAACUGGGCGUUAAGUUGCAGGGUAUAGACCCGAAACCCGGUGAUCUAGCCAUGGGCAGGUUGAAGGUUGGGUAACACUAACUGGAGGACCGAACCGACUAAUGUUGAAAAAUUAGCGGAUGACUUGUGGCUGGGGGUGAAAGGCCAAUCAAACCGGGAGAUAGCUGGUUCUCCCCGAAAGCUAUUUAGGUAGCGCCUCGUGAACUCAUCUUCGGGGGUAGAGCACUGUUUCGGCUAGGGGGUCAUCCCGACUUACCAACCCGAUGCAAACUACGAAUACCGAAGAAUGUUAUCACGGGAGACACACGGCGGGUGCUAACGUCCGUCGUGAAGAGGGAAACAACCCAGACCGCCAGCUAAGGUCCCAAAGUCAUGGUUAAGUGGGAAACGAUGUGGGAAGGCACAGACAGCCAGGAUGUUGGCUUAGAAGCAGCCAUCAUUUAAAGAAAGCGUAAUAGCUCACUGGUCGAGUCGGCCUGCGCGGAAGAUGUAACGGGGCUAAACCAUGCACCGAAGCUGCGGCAGCGACACUAUGUGUUGUUGGGUAGGGGAGCGUUCUGUAAGCCUGCGAAGGUGNUGUGAACUCGAAGAGUAGGGCGGGACACGUGGUAUCCUGUCUGAAUAUGGGGGGACCAUCCUCCAAGGCUAAAUACUCCUGACUGACCGAUAGUGAACCAGUACCGUGAGGGAAAGGCGAAAAGAACCCCGGCGAGGGGAGUGAAAAAGAACCUGAAACCGUGUACGUACAAGCAGUGGGAGCACCUUCGGGUGUGACUGCGUACCUUUUGUAUAAUGGGUCAGCGACUUAUAUUCUGUAGCAAGGUUAACCGUAUAGGGGAGCCGCAGGGAAACCGAGUCUUAACUGGGCGUUAAGUUGCAGGGUAUAGACCCGAAACCCGGUGAUCUAGCCAUGGGCAGGUUGAAGGUUGGGUAACACUAACUGGAGGACCGAACCGACUAAUGUUGAAAAAUUAGCGGAUGACUUGUGGCUGGGGGUGAAAGGCCAAUCAAACCGGGAGAUAGCUGGUUCUCCCCGAAAGCUAUUUAGGUAGCGCCUCGUGAACUCAUCUUCGGGGGUAGAGCACUGUUUCGGCUAGGGGGUCAUCCCGACUUACCAACCCGAUGCAAACUACGAAUACCGAAGAAUGUUAUCACGGGAGACACACGGCGGGUGCUAACGUCCGUCGUGAAGAGGGAAACAACCCAGACCGCCAGCUAAGGUCCCAAAGUCAUGGUUAAGUGGGAAACGAUGUGGGAAGGCACAGACAGCCAGGAUGUUGGCUUAGAAGCAGCCAUCAUUUAAAGAAAGCGUAAUAGCUCACUGGUCGAGUCGGCCUGCGCGGAAGAUGUAACGGGGCUAAACCAUGCACCGAAGCUGCGGCAGCGACACUAUGUGUUGUUGGGUAGGGGAGCGUUCUGUAAGCCUGCGAAGGUGNCCUGUGAGGGUUGCUGGAGGUAUCAGAAGUGCGAAUGCUGACAUAAGUAACGAUAAAGCGGGUGAAAAGCCCGCUCGCCGGAAGACCAAGGGUUCCUGUCCAACGUUAAUCGGGGCAGGGUGAGUCGACCCCUAAGGCGAGGCCGAAAGGCGUAGUCGAUGGGAAACAGGUUAAUAUUCCUGUACUUGGUGUUACUGCGAAGGGGGGACGGAGAAGGCUAUGUUAGCCGGGCGACGGUUGUCCCGGUUUAAGCAUGUAGGCUGGUUGUCCAGGCAAAUCCGGAUAAUCAAGGCUGAGGUGUGAUGACGAGGCACUACGGUGCUGAAGUAACAAAUGCCCUGCUUCCAGGAAAAGCCUCUAAGCAUCAGGUAACAUCAAAUCGUACCCCAAACCGACACAGGUGGUCAGGUAGAGAAUACCAAGGCGCUUGAGAGAACUCGGGUGAAGGAACUAGGCAAAAUGGUGCCGUAACUUCGGGAGAAGGCACGCUGGUGUGUAGGUGAAGCCCCUGCGGGUGGAGCUGAGACCAGUCGAAGAUACCAGCUGGCUGCAACUGUUUAUUAAAAACACAGCACUGUGCAAACACGAAAGUGGACGUAUACGGUGUGACGCCUGCCCGGUGCCGGAAGGUUAAUUGAUGGGGUUAUCCGUAAGGAGAAGCUCUUGAUCGAAGCCCCGGUAAACGGCGGCCGUAACUAUAACGGUCCUAAGGUAGCGAAAUUCCUUGU
RNAcentral lists this ribosomal RNA (2801 nucleotides) under Klebsiella pneumoniae. RNAcentral's name for it is "23S ribosomal RNA". It matches the Rfam family "Bacterial large subunit ribosomal RNA", at positions 1 to 1972 of the family's 2925-position model. Lineage: Bacteria; Pseudomonadati; Pseudomonadota; Gammaproteobacteria; Enterobacterales; Enterobacteriaceae. The record is from RNAcentral.